Molecule: small RNA, 221 nt
Filed under: Paenibacillus larvae
Lineage: Bacteria; Bacillati; Bacillota; Bacilli; Caryophanales; Paenibacillaceae
Also listed under: 1 other name
Description: c-di-AMP sequence
Rfam family: c-di-AMP riboswitch aptamer (ydaO/yuaA leader)
About the family: This family represents a conserved RNA structure found upstream of the ydaO and yuaA genes in Bacillus subtilis and related genes in other bacteria. The ydaO/yuaA element is thought to act as a genetic "off" switch for the ydaO and yuaA genes in its native state.
Source: RNAcentral
UCAAUGUGAUCGCUGAAUUUCCUGGUAACAGGAAAACGGGGGGAACCGCUGUGAAUACCGAUAGGUGGGAAAAGUCGAACCUAAUCGGAGGGUAACAGACCAUUAUGGGGUGAAUCCUUACAGGUCCGGGCUGGUGAAGAAUACCGGCAAGGGUGGGUAAGGUAGGGCUACUCUCAGUCCGAAUCCGUCAGCUAACCUCGUAAGCACAUGAGAGAGGGUAC